Molecule: ribosomal RNA, 253 nt
Filed under: uncultured bacterium
Lineage: Bacteria
Description: partial 16S ribosomal RNA
Rfam family: Bacterial small subunit ribosomal RNA
Source: RNAcentral
GACAGAGGGUGCAAACGUUGUUCGGAAUUACUGGGCGUAAAGCGCGUGUAGGCGGCCCUGCAAGUCGGAUGUGAAAUCCCACGGCUCAACCGUGGAAGUGCAUUCGAAACUGCAGGGCUAGAGUCCUGGAGAGGAAGGUGGAAUGCUUGGUGUAGAGGUGAAAUUCGUAGACAUCAAGCGGAACACCGGUGGCGAAGGCGGCCUUCUGGACAGUGACUGACGCUGAGACGCGAAAGCGUGGGGAGCAAACAGG